This 229-nucleotide unclassified non-coding RNA is filed under the name Hevea brasiliensis (rubber tree). The record is from RNAcentral. Lineage: Eukaryota; Viridiplantae; Streptophyta; Magnoliopsida; Malpighiales; Euphorbiaceae.
GAAAAACUUCCAAUGGAUGUUAGAAAUCAUUAAGAGCAAAGUAGAAAAUCGUCGAUGGUGUUAUUCGAUGUCCCUUUCACGCCUUUCAGGACAGUCUCUUGAUCUAUACCCUGUUAUCCACUAUCGCAACUUUGCCUUACCAUGCACCAUUGACUCUAUAACUUGCAUGCUUAAAACAAACAAAGUUGAACAACACCAAGAAAACCAGAGAACAAGUCGCUCAUGAAAC